CGACCACCACCAUCAGUUUUACAAUGCACCGUAAUUGCAAUGUCUCUGUGCCCAUAGCUCAUCUCUCUGCUCACCUGGAGGACUAAAGUGUGGCUUGUGGGCUAAGGGGAGCAGACAAACCAACAGCCCUCAUUCGCCAUACUGCUCUCUGGGUGCUGCUUCAGAGGAUGCUGCCUGAACCAGCCAUCCACAAUAAUCACAGUAAAUCAGGAGUCAUUGAAACAAUUUCACAAGCUUGGGAUAGUUUCACCUCUAUCAUGUCCAUCCAUCCAGUGUCUGUAGCUGCUUAUCCUGAUCCGGGCUGCCUCCCCCAGCACUGAACCCCUCCGGCAGGAGAGUGGGCCUCACCUCUGGCAGCGGUAUGCCGUUGAUGAUGAGGUCAGGCUGCUGUGGGCCCUGUCCGCUGAAGGUGUUGUGAUAACCAUGGUUGGCGGCGGCA
Molecule: long non-coding RNA, 439 nt
Organism: Brienomyrus brachyistius
Lineage: Eukaryota; Metazoa; Chordata; Actinopteri; Osteoglossiformes; Mormyridae
Exons: 3
Source: RefSeq, a predicted model, not a curated record